Molecule: long non-coding RNA, 1823 nt
Organism: Conger conger (European conger)
Lineage: Eukaryota; Metazoa; Chordata; Actinopteri; Anguilliformes; Congridae
Exons: 2
Source: RefSeq, a predicted model, not a curated record
ACCUCAAAGAUGGUCAAAUUAGCUGACUUUACCACAGGCCAUCAAGUGUUUCAUCACCUUUAUUCUGCAAUAAAAGAAAGUCAGAAAAGCCAACCAGCACUGUGAAGGAGAAACAAAACUCCACAGGCCUGGAAUCGGAAAGACUCGUGGCACCAUUGCUGCAGCCUGCAGUAACUAAACUACUUCAUGCAAAGGAGAAAUUAAACUGGAGAGGAAUGCUGAAUGUUCAGUUCCCUGAGUGCAGGUUCUUCCUCCACAGAAGGAGGGUAGGACUGACAUCACAGAUCUCUGAGGGUACAAAAUACACCUUCUAGAUAAUGGCAAAUACAAUAUCUCCUUAAAUUGCCAAAACACAGAUAAUAAUAAUGCCACAAAUGUACAAUGUUAAUGAUCAUAAUGAUUUGCUCUGGGUCCUUAAUUAUUUGAAAAGUACAUGUUCUGUGUUUAUGUAGAACUAUUAAAAAUAGAUUUUGAGUACACAAAGUGUUUAAAUAAAAGAUGUUAGUAAUGCAAGUGGUCAUAAAAGAAAAUUCAAUUCUCAAACUAAUUUCAAAAUAUUGCUUCACCAUUCCUUAUUUUUUAUUUUUUCAGUAUUAGAGGUAGCGUUAUGUCCCUGGGGGCUGGGAAUUGUAGUCUUUCAGUAUUAGAGGUAGCGUUAUGUCCCUGGGGGCUGGGAAUUGUAGUCUUUCAGUAUUAGAGGUAGCAUUAUGUCCCUGGGGGCUGGGAAUUGUAGUCUUUCAGUAUUAGAGGUAGCGUUAUGUCCCUGGGGGCUGGGAGUUUUUCAGCUGCCUUUUUAAUUAUGUUGAAAUCCUGAGAAUGCUCUGUCUCUAGAAUUUGCAGAGAAUGGUGCAAAAAACAUCCAGUGAGCAGCAGUUCUGUUAAUGACAGAUGAGAAGGGCCAGACAGGUCAAAGCUGACAGGAAGGUGUCAGUCACGCAAAUAACCAUGCAUUACAACAAUGAUAUGCAGAAGAGCAUCUCUGAACACACAACACCUCAAAACUCUUAAGUGGAAAGGCUACAGCAGCAGAAGACCAAUAAGUAUUUUAAAAAAAGAGGAGGAGGAGGGAGAUAAGUUGCUGUCGAACUGAAAGAACACAAAUCCGAUCUGCUACCAGGGGCAGAUCAAUGAUCCUUUUUCCCAAUGACCCCUGAAUUUUGAGGGCAGGGAAAAGGACAUCGAAAAGCAUAGACCCGGGGUGACUACACAACCAAUCCCUUCUGUCCUGUUCAAAAAGGAAACAAAUAUCCUUCAUCGUGACAAAAUGGGGUACAAAAGGGACCCAGACACCUUUGUGGUGACCUGCAGCUGAUCCAGCAGAACAGCUGGUGAUAGAUUCAGGGCCGAAUACACAAGGAAGAACAAGAACUGAAAUGGACUACAAUGUCACUUUGGGAGAGCUGUUAUGAAUUCAGUUCAUGAAGUAUGUGUCAUAAGCAGGUGAGCAUAUAUAUUCUCAACAGAUAGUUCUGAAAGUUCUGAUCAAAGGCAUCAUAUCAGAAAUAGAUAAUGAGCCAAGAAGUUUAUUAAAACUCUAGCUGAUUUGAAAAAAUACAUAAAAUAUCUAAGCUUUUGGGUAUUUCCAAAUGGUGAUGCAACAAUCACUGUGAACCCCUAUUCAUGUAACAUGGGAAACAUGAGAUAUAUAAAAGAUGUGUAUGUAUUUGAAACUAUUGAGUGAAGAUAAUCAACGUUGAGGUUGGUAGGACAAAUAUAUAUUCUGUGACUACUUCACGGUAAAUAUCACCAAAGUGAAAUGUUUCUCUACUUGGUUCUGUGGGUCAAGACCCUCACGUAAAAUAAAUGUUUUUUUUCUUCCCCCA